GACGAACGCUGGCGGCGUGCUUAACACAUGCAAGUCGAACGGAAGUUACGAGGAAGCUUGCGAAUUGUAACUUUAGUGGCGGACGGGUGAGUAACGCGUGGAUAACCUACCUUAAGGACUGGGAUAACACCGGGAAACUGGUGCUAAUACCGGAUAAGCUCAUCGGAGCACAUGCUUUGAUGAGGAAAGGAGCAAUCCGCUUUAAGAUGGGUCCGCGUCCCAUUAGCUAGUUGGAGGUGUAAGAGACCCCCAAGGCGACGAUGGGUAGCCGGCCUGAGAGGGUGGACGGCCACACUGGAACUGAGACACGGUCCAGACUCCUACGGGAGGCAGCAGUGGGGAAUCUUCCGCAAUGGGCGAAAGCCUGACGGAGCAACGCCGCGUGAAUGAUGAAGGCCUUCGGGUUGUAAAAUUCUGUCUUCAGGGAAGAAAAAAAUGACGGUACCUGAGGAGGAAGCCCCGGCUAACUACGUG
This 474-nucleotide ribosomal RNA is filed under the name uncultured organism. RNAcentral's name for it is "bacterial SSU rRNA". It matches the Rfam family "Bacterial small subunit ribosomal RNA", at positions 28 to 507 of the family's 1533-position model. The record is from RNAcentral.